This is a long non-coding RNA of Myotis daubentonii (Daubenton's bat), 6267 nucleotides long. RefSeq lists it as uncharacterized. The record is from RefSeq and is a predicted model, not a curated record. NCBI's taxonomy places the organism in Eukaryota, Metazoa, Chordata, Mammalia, Chiroptera, Vespertilionidae.
UCUCCUCCUCCUCUUCCUCCCCCCCUCCCCCUCCUCCUCCUCAGGGAAGGUUUCUUGGAGCCUCACUCUGACACGGGGCCUUCCGGCUGGACUCUCAGCCGUGCCCCGCAUGCUGGUCUGAAACCUGGCUGCUGUGGCCCCUGGUCUCUGUGCUGGGAGACAGUGCCAGGCCUGGCAGGGACGGAGACCGUGAGGAGGGCAGCCCCGAGGAAAGGAUGGGCCUCACCUAGGCCUCCUGUCCAGUCAGGCCUGCGUCCCCCGUUCCUUGUUCCCCAGGGACCCUCGCGAGCGGUGGCGGGUGGCGCCUACGCCUGGCAGCGAGGCCCAGCCUGGCGCAGGGAAGCCUGCCGUCUCCUCCCCGCGUCCCUGCGUUUUACAUAAUUAGGUAAGUCUCUUAAUGUCGCUGUGUCUUGUUAGAGAAGGUACUAAUCCUUAGAGCUAACAGGACUAACUAAUUAGUGUAAAACACUGAAAUAUAAGAAAUUCAGAUGUGGAGUGUAAUUGGCCAGUCCUCCUGGUAUUGGCACGUUGGCGGCAUCCCUAGUAGAGCCACGGGCCUGGCUGCCUCCAGGAGACGUCUGAGGUGGUGGCGUGAGUGAGGCGGGCUGUCCUGGAGGCCAGGCUGCCCGGACGCGUAUCCUGGGCACCUUUGCCCGAUGAAGUGACCUGGGACAGAGACGAGGGAACUGGCAGGCAGCCCCAGGGAAACGGCGUGGGCUGCGGUGGCCUGGUCAUCACUGGCUCAGCACCUGCAGGCUGGUCUGGGCGGGGCCAGGUGAGGCUUGUCUGUGGGCAGCCUGAUGGGGCUGCAGUGCUGGUGGGUCAGGCUGUGUGACCCUCAGCUUCCUCCUCUCUAGGAGGGAGCUCAUGAGGUUGCUUGCCUCCCCUCCAGAGGCGGCAGACCAGCUCGCGGCAGUUCGGACCAUCCGGCUGACAAAGGGCAGAUGCUGAACUUCCCGUCGGCGGGCACUGGCCCAGAAAAGAUGCCCGGCCCGGACCCAGCUCCCCAGCCACUCGGCCACCACGGGGGCAGGGUUCCCGGGGUCCUUGGACACGAGGAGGAAAGUGCUCGUUGGGGCUCGCUUCCGAAGGGUGUGUGGAGGUGUCAGCGAAUCAUUAAUCUCUCUCUAAACCACGGUGGCAGUGUUUACACUUCAGAUCAGACGAUGACGGUCUGAAGAGCGCCCUGGAAGCUCUCCUCGCAACUGGAAAAACACAGCAGCCGGUUCGCGGGGCCGAGUCCUGAGCCAAAAACAACGCGAGCCCCGGCGCAGCGAGGCGAUGUCGGCCCCUGACAGCGAGCGGACUGGGUCGCCUCCACUUCGGAAAAUCGUGGCCUGCGUGUGCGCUCGGUGGCUGAGCUUUCGGGUCCACCUGAGACACCCCAGCUCCAAAAGACAUUCCUGAAAAGAAUUGUCUUGAACUUCUAAAAAAACGAGCGUGUUCCCGACAACACGGCCAAGCGCCAGGGCCCGCAGGGGUGAAGAGCCAGCUUACCCAGCACCGGCCAGGGCCGUCCUCCCGGCCUCCCCUCCAGCGCUCCGCAGCCUGAGCCAGCGCUGUGGGCUGGUGGAUGGUCUCAUCCGGCCGCCGGGGUCCCUGCUCCCCAGACGGGGUGCCCACAGCUCUGCCCUGAAAACUUCUGUCUCCUGGGCAUCUUCAGAAAGCAUUUUGUGCGGACAGCCCUCAGCUUCUGACCAGCCUUCCCUCCCCUCCCCACUCCCAGGCACAUCCCCCCAACCGGGAGCCUUGGGCACGUGCACGGCACUGCAGGGCGGGAGCAGCGCCUUCUAUCCCAACAUCCAUCCGGAAGACAGCAACCCAGUCCACGGGCAGUGGUGGGUCACGUGGCAUAGUGUGGCAUAGCAUGGCAUAGCAACAACGAGAUGUGUGUGAUAAAAAUGUUUAAGCGAUGGGAAGGAGUUGGUGGUGGGGGAGCGGAAUGAUUAAAUAACCGAAAAAUCAAUCCUCCAUUCUGUCUGGCCAGACGCACGUUUCUCGGCUCAGGUAAACGCACAGCAGCGACAAUCUUGCUCUCACAGUCUUGUCCAGGCUCCGAUCAUUUCCUUGAGACCGAUUCCCGAAGUGGACGUGGUGGGUGGGUACGGACACGGGUAAGUCUCUGGAUAUAAACAUGCCAACCGGCUCCUGGAAGGACUGUGCCACUUACAACUUCUGUGGACAACUGGCAGAAGGCCCUUUUCUCCACCAGCAGGACUGAUGCGAGCUUUUAAGGAAAGUCUUUUCUAAUUAAAUAAGGGAAAAUAAACUCCGUCUCAUUGUUUUCAUCUGAGAGCAUUUCAAGUGAGCUCCCAUGUAGUCUCCUGAGCUUCUGGGUCACUUGUCACUGCACGUUGACUGUGAAUUUGCCCCUUUUCCUUCAGGAUGCCUGUCCUGCCUUAUUGAUUUGCAAAAGCUCAUUGUAUAUUGGGAGUGUGGACCCUUUGUUGUCAUUGUAGCAGAUCCUCUUUCUCAGGGCGCCAGCCCGGCUUUGGCCCCCCAGCAGUGGCACGGGGAGGCGGCAAAGAGCUUGGUGUCUCAUAGGCAGAAACACCAGGUCUGGUCUUGGCUAACGACCACACCGCCGUCAGGGGCGUGAGCUGUGCAUGGCCCCCAUCAGUGCAGUGGCGGGAGCGGUCUGACGGGGCAGCAGGUGGGACCCCCAUGCCCCCUCCUGACCCUCGGUCUCUCUGACUUCCUUGUGGCCUCUUCUGACUCAGUCCUCAUCGCUCUCUUUCCUCUGUCCGCACCCUGUCCCCACGGUCAGGCGAUAGCAGCAGCUUUCCUGAGCCCUGGCCGGCUCAGCCCUCGCAGCCCCGCCCUGUGUGCUGCCUCAGUCCUGGCCUGCACGCUUGCUGUCCCUACCCCAUGUGCACAGCUCCUCCCCUCAGCCUGUUGCCCCUGCCCGUGCCCCACAUGCUGCUAGACUCGGUGUGGACCACGUGUGACCCCAGGACGCUGGUGGGAGAGUGGGGGGAGGCUCCUUGGCGGUCCCCUGGUGUGGUGGGGAGGCCCUGGGGCAGUGAGCCUGUGGCCUUGGCCGUGUCCUGAAGAGAGGCCCCUGGGCCGCAGCUAACAUUGCUGGACAAGCCAGCUUCCAUCUGUCCAGGUGGCUGGGCUGCACCAGGCCCCCCGGGGCGGGGGCGGCGUGUGUCCUCCUGAGCUUGGCUGGGAGCCCAGGGAGCGUGGUUCUGGCUCCAUCCCAAUGGUCUGUCUCUUGAAUUCCCGAAGGCCUCUGAGACCUGCAUCAGUGCAUGGGCCCGGGGGGUGCGGACUGGACACUUCACUUGGCACCGGCCUGGUCCUUCCAGCCCUCUGACCUUGGCUGGUCAUCCCCCUCUCUGAGCUGCAGUUUUGUCACCUGAGAGGGGGACCCACCUCAGCUCUGAGUGGCACUCCUCCGGGAGGACAGACGGGAGGACGGGACUGAUGUCCUGCUCGCCACCGGCUGGGACUGCGGGCGGGCGAGGACGGUGCUUAUUGGCUGCACGUAAACGUGGGAGACUGGCCGCGCUUUAGAGAUGGUUUCAUGCAAGGUGGUCUCGGCAACCUCGAUCAGAAAGGAUGUUCGCUUCCGUCCCCAGCCCCGUCUCUCCAGGACAGCGCGCCCCUCCACGCCAGCCGGGUGCUCCGCGGGACCUUCGGCUGCGCCAGUGCCUCCGACGUAGGGGCGGAUGGGGAGGGAGCCCCGCCCGUCAGGUGUGUGGGCAGGACCCUGGGAGGCUGGUGGCCUUAGAUGCUCCCCGGGUUUGGGGGGGCGCACGCGGCAGGUCCCGGACCUCCCCGCAGGCAGGGCAGGCUUUGCGAAGGGACGAGCCCCUGGGCUGAGACUGAAUGGCUGAGUAGGAAUUGGCCCUGCUUCCUCGCUGCCCCCGACCGUGAGUGCCCCGUGUGUGGCUGCGUGGCUGUGUGGCUCUGUGGCACCCCUUGGCGCUCCGUCUGGCUCUGUGUGGCUCCGGUGGCUCUGUGGGUGUGGCACAGAGCAGACUCGGGGCGUGGGCACAAACCCCGAUUUACUGCAGCCCCGGGACUGAGCGCCCGCCGGCCGUCAGUGGGCCUGGCUGCGCCUGGACGUCGGCCAGUUCCGCCAAGGACGGCGGUGUCCCCGGGUGGGGCCUCGGCCGGACUCGGAGCUGAAUGGCACCCACUCCGGUCGUGGGUUCACUUUUGCAGAACCACCGGGAGGGGGGCGAGUCAGAGCCGGUCUGAGUGUGCAGGGUCAGGAGCGGCCCGUCUGUCCCCGGCCCGGCCGGGGCUGCGCUCACGCCACUCCCUGGGAAACCUGCGGCCCCACACUGGGAAAUGACAAACGACCAGAAAAUCAAUUUGUAAUCUGAUUGGAGGUUUUUGAUUUCCUCUGAUGAGUUUAAAUUUCAUUAAAAGCAACCUUAUUCCCACAUAAAAGGAGCCCUUGAAGGGUAGAGCGGGGGAUUGUCUCACGGCGUCUAAAGCAGCGGACCCUUUGUGUCAUUUAUUCAUGGCGUUAAUUGUGAGGGCCAGCCCCGUGUCCGCCCGCAGCUGCGCCCUUAUCGGCCGGCAUCGGCGGGAGCGCCCAGCACAAGGACGCGCAUUCAGGCAUUCAGAAGCUGCUCUCGGGCGUAUUGACACUUCAGUUAUCAACAACUCUUGUUAUCAUCUGUGGGGAGGGGGCUCUCGGUGGGGGGGGGAGGGUGCUCCAAACGGCUGCCCCGCCGCCCGGCUGCCUUCUCCUAAUUGUGUGUAUUCUCUGCAAAGGCCGAUCGGCGCAGCCUCUUGUCUUGAUGAGAAAUUGACAUUUUCCGCGGCCUCGUUGGCGCGCGGGGCGCGGCGAUAAGGCUGGAGUGGUUUCCGGGGGGCGCCUCUCCCCGCAGCCGCCCCGCUGCUCCCGGUGACCUGCCUGAUGAGUAUGGAUUUCAUGAGGUCUUUUUCAGCAUCUGAACUAUAAAAGGUGCAGAAUGACACCACCCCUCAUAGACAGAAGGUAACCUUGCUCUUUGAAUAUAUCGAUUCUUUAUUAACUGGGCUGUUUAAUGCAAUGAAAUGAGGCAUUAGAUGGAAGCCCAUUUCGAGUGCUUUGAAUAAUCUUUAAGAGCUUGAAAACCUUCAAAGGCGGCCUGACAAUAAUUGGCACCCACUCUGAGGGCACUUCUCGCUUCUGAUUCGAAACACAAACAUACAGUCGCUUCUCUCUCCCCAGGAAAAGGACGCAGGGCUCUGGCCCCCAUCCCAGGCUGGGCUCCUGCCCGAGAGCAAGGAGGCAGGUGAACUGCGUCCCCAUCCCCCCCUCCCCUCGCAUCUUGGGACGGAGCCUGGGGGAGGGGAGUGGGCAGGCAGCAGCUUUGUACCUGGAGCCCUUCCUUGCUGCCUCUUUAAGGCUGAAACAAAUGCCGUCAAAGGAACCGACUGGCACUGGCAGGAGGAGGAGGGCGGCACAAGUUUCUUUAUGUUUUGAGUAAUUGUUUCCUGUUUUGCUCAGCAGAACAAGUAAUUAAGGGGACAUUUGUGAGCACUAAUUUGGAUCACACGUAUGUGUCUGUGUGAGAGCUGCGAGCCAAAACAUGCAGAACCACCUCUCAUUGAGGAGGAGAUGACAAACGCAGAAUAAAACAGAACGGGGUGCGGAGAACUCGCCGGAGCAGCUGAAAUCGGCAUGUGAAUUAGGGCCUCGGCAGCUCCUGUUACCGUGGGCACCUUUGGCUGCACCCACGUGCAGCCCACAGCGGCCGGGGCAGUGGCCGGGGCCUGUCAUGGCCUGGAGUCGGCGGGGGCAUCAUACCCUCACGUCAGACCUCAGGUCAGACCUCAGCUGGCGGCUGUAUCUGGAGCCCUGCUGUCCGCCCGCCCUGCGCCCCAUCCCCAGCCCCGCCCCACGCUCUCCUAAAGCUGAUCCUUGCCCAGUGGAGCACGGGAUGGGGACACAAGGAGCAUCUGCUCUGCCGGCCAAACCCUGCGGUUCAGAAGCAGCAGGGCUGGUGAGCGGUGUCCGCGCCCCCGUGAGCCUGGUGACAGUGCGUGUCCCUCAGGGCCACUGGCCCGAGUCUGACCGUCACCUGCAGACGUCUGUGUGAAACACACAGGUGGGACCAGGCCAUCUAAGUAACUCACACUCUCUCUCCGCAGGCGGGAUCACGUUGUAGAAGGUUCUUCCAUGAACCCUCCGUGUCGGCCGAGACAAUGCUCCGGGACCCCAGGUACGCAAAUGGCACCCCCAGGGUCCCUCGCGCGUGUGCAUCCAGGCGGGCGGCUCAAUAACCAAAACAUGGAAUUACCCAAAGUGAAAUUCACAGA